RNAcentral lists this transfer RNA (73 nucleotides) under Trachymyrmex septentrionalis. It matches the Rfam family "tRNA". From Rfam's summary of the family: Transfer RNA (tRNA) molecules are approximately 80 nucleotides in length. Lineage: Eukaryota; Metazoa; Arthropoda; Insecta; Hymenoptera; Formicidae. The record is from Rfam by way of RNAcentral.
GCCUCGGUGGUCUAAAGGCUUAGGACGUUCGCCCGGAAAGCAAGAGAUCCAGGUUCGACUUCCGGCCAAGGUA